Molecule: long non-coding RNA, 4868 nt
Organism: Haemorhous mexicanus (house finch)
Lineage: Eukaryota; Metazoa; Chordata; Aves; Passeriformes; Fringillidae
Exons: 3
Source: RefSeq, a predicted model, not a curated record
ACAGAACACACGAGAAUAGAAAAGUCGCUCUGAGCUACUGCUGGAUCGAGGUUUUUUGCAAUUUGCUAAAAACAAGUGGAUCAGCAGUUCAGAUGAGAACUCCUUAAAUCACUCACUCUUCCAGUCCUUAUCUUAAUUUAACUGGAUUUUCCCUUUUCAGUUAAAUAAGGGGAGGAAACUGCCUGGGCUAGAGGAAAAGGACGCUCCUGAGCUAAGGAUGUUUGCAUCCAGGGCAGCAAUGCCACUUCCUACUACGUGAUAAAGACCAUGAGGACUUUGCAGGACUGCCACCUGCGCCAUUGCCAAAAUGACGGCAUCUGCCAGAACAUUCAGGUUUCCAGCCUGUGAUGCUCCAGCAGCUGUACUCCUGUUGCACCUAAAUCCCCUAAUCAACAUCAGACUGUUAAACUGCUGAACAGAAGAGCAAGAAGAAAGAAGGAACAGCAGUGGAAGAAAGAAUGUCAUCCCAAAUGUUUUCAAGACCAGAAGACUGAAUACUUUAAACCCAACACACCCAUCCACAUUAAAAAACCCCAACUCUCCCACUGCUACUAUGUGUACAUGUUCAGCUUUUUAGGCUGAACUUAUAUAUUCAUAGAAUGUAGUAAUGUAGCAUAGACAAGGUAAAAAAAGAACCACCAACAUAAAACCAGAAAGGAAACAUUACUAAAUCUAUCUGGGGCUAUUAAAAGCAAAAGUAAAAAUGCAUUCUAGCAUAGCAUCCAUUAUAAUGCUCACUUUUAUAUUUUAAAUGUGCAGUUUAUUCCUUUGCAAAGAUUUAACUGGAGAUAUCUCCAGUUACACACCUGCACUGCAGCUCUGCUGUGUCUGUCACUGUGGGCCAGAAGCACCUGAGCUGAAGCAGGCACAGGGCUGAGGGAAGAAAACCAGGAGGACAUAGUGGGGUGUGUGCUGAGCCCUGUGUCAGAGAGGUCCCAGCACUCCAAGGGGAAGGACACAGCCUGGAAGGUGAUGGCAGCUUUCUGUUCACAAAGUUCCCACUGGAAAUCUGAGAGUUAAAACCACAGUCAUGGUGGAUCUUCUUAUAUCCAUUAGUCACACUCUCCCAACAAACUCUGCUAUGUGGUAUCUCUGCUUACACUGCCAUAGAAUCAUCCCAGCCUCCUGAUGAAGUUACUAGAUAAAUUGUGAGUUUUGAAAUACAGAUAGACAAAGGUUAAGAAAACAAACUGUCUUACUAUUUACCGUGGUGCUGCAACAGGCACGUCUCCACCUCUGAUGAAGGGUGAAAAACACCAUUUUGUGCAACAGAAUGGCAAGCACAACUGUUGGGAGGCUGAAAUGGCCUGUUAUGGUGGUGUUAUCCAACCGACAUAUAGCUAUGGGAGAAUGGGACACAGGCUGUGCAGGUGCUCUCUCCAGUAUAUUAACAGAAGCAGUACAACUUACAUAAAGAAAAAAAAAAAAGAUACCAAAAUACUUUAAUUUUAUAAAUUCUGAGUACCAAAAUGGGAGGCAGGACCAGGAUGAAAAAGAAAAAUAGCCUUAAAUUUCUUUCUAAGAUUCACCCACCCUCAUCAAAACUACUGACCAUCAGAUUUUCACAACUUAUCUUCUCUAUUCCUUGCAAAUACAUACAGGCACACCUUCAAAACUGCCCAUGUAAAAUGGAGGCUCUCUGAGCAUCUUUUGUAGGAGGCAACAGUGCCAGGAACACACAGAAAAACAUUCAACUUUUUCUAAAUCAAAAGUCCACAUCAACUGCUGUCCCUCAGGUUUCUACUUUUUUGACUACUGAAGGGAAUCCUUCAUUCAGCAGACAAUAAAAGCUUAAAGUUGCUUCUUGAGAUAUACCUUAGGGUGGGAUAAGUUGGGAAGGGAUGCAGGCCUAGGGUAGAGCUUCUUUGGAGGCACAUAGGGACCUACAGAGUUUGGGACUUAUCCUAUGGAAAGAUCAAGUUAACCCAGAAGAAGCAGAAAGCUGUGGAGGGCUGGACUCCAAAGCCAAGAGUGAGGGGGGGUAGACCUGGGACAAACUGUAGGAAAAGUGUUGGUUCCUAGUCUCAGUGAAACUGGUGUCUAGGGAAAGAUCCAAUUCUUCUUACAGCCAACACAGAAACAAGAUAUGAGGUCUGCAGCUUUCUUAUAACAGUGUAAUUGCAGUACAGGAAUUCUGAUUGUGAAAGACUUGAAAUUGGGAAGAAAAAGGAAAGCUGCUUCUAGAUCCAUGCAGUGACUAGGUAUGCCAAACCUCAAGCUUUCCUCAAAUGGGCACAAUUACUUUCAGCAGGUUCUACUUGUCCUUUGGACAGUUCAGCAUCUAUCCUUUCCAAUACAACAUUUCAGAGGAAAAUAUUGUUGGAGUGCAGGUCAGGAUGCACCCUUUAAAAUCUACAGAGUAGUACAAGCAUUAGGUUUUCCUUACUUAAACAUGGUGUUUCUCUGCCUCCUCUAACCUCUAUGCCUUAUUUUAUUCUUGGCUCCAUUAAUUGUGUGCUUGGCUCUUUCUGUUCUGCCUUCAUUCUCUCUGGUUUUCUUCCUUUUCACUAAAACAGCCUUUCCUUCUUGCAUGCUAUUUCUGCACGACAAAAAUAAUAACAUCAAUCUGAUUCCGCAUGUGUAGCACAGUUGCCUUAAUUCUGUAUUCCCCACAUUUUUCCUCCCAUUAAUACUGCCCACAAGCCCUCUGGAACAAGGCCUGUUCAAAUUUGAACUGUGUUUAGCAAAGCAGCUCCCAGAAGAUCUUGACUGGCCCCUCAGUAUGCCCUGGACAAUGGCACUUAACAACACUGGCUGUUGAACUUCUUACAAAGCCACCAUCCUAGUCCACCUCAGGAUUUGAAAUUUAGGCCAACACAUUAAUACUGUGUCAUCGCCCAGUACUUUACCUGAGGCAAUUUUCUUCAAGGUCACUUUGCCAACAACUUUUAAAGUGGUUGAAGAACUCUACCUCAGAAGCCAGGCAACAAAAAACCCUGUUGUAUCAGGGAAAACUUCCAUGGUACAGAGCAAAAGGCCUCUACCUUCCCUCCCUAAGAAACAUAAGGCACAGUGCCUACCCUGCCCUUGCCUCUGCAGGUCAGAGGGCUUGGGAAGCACUUGCAUCCCAUGGUGUGGAGCAUGGCAGUAACACCUAGAAAGAUCAUUCAAACAAGGCAGGACCUGGGCAUCCUGUUUCUCAUGGCACCAUCCUCAAAAUAUACAACUGCUACCAAAGAUUACACUAUAAAUUUCCCACUGAACCCAAAAUGCUCUUCACAAAUAUCCAAAAGAAAAAGAAUAAAAAUAUUUAUAUCUUCCAACAUGCUGACUGGGUAAACAAGAUUGUAGCUGGGCUUCUGUUAUGUCCCGUUUCCCCAUGUGCAGGCUGAAGCAGACAUAAAUGUUUACAGCAGACACUCAUUGCCCAUGGGCUGCACGCAUGGCCCAUGGGCUGCCCUUCCCAUCCCUCUGCCUGGCAGGAGCAGAGCAAGGCCUGAAUAUGAGGAUGGGUGCCCGCUUAUGUUUAGAAGAUGAUGACCAUUGAGCACUCUGCAGAUGCUGAGCUUCUCAGCCGGCUGAAAUAAAUCAUUCCCACACUAUGUGUGAACACCGUGCAUGGCUACAGGUACACCUGUCAACUUUUCUUCAGGUCCUGAGUGCCUGAUGGACCCUGUUUGUAGCUAUAGAAUAAUGCCUUUCUGCAUCCUCUGUAAGUUAUGAUCCUUCAUAAUUUUUUGUAGGGUCAAUUUACUCUCAGAUAAUUAUCUAAAAUUUAAAUUAAAAAGAAAAUCAUGACCAAAAAUGGUCCUCUCCAGCUCUCACUGCAAGCAUUUCAAAGUCAAUCUGUCCAUUCCAUUGCAACCAGUCACCUUCCCAUUUACAACACCUGUGUGCUAGAAUUCAUUGUGUCAUUAAUGUGACAAAUCUAAUAAUCCAUUACAUUAAUACUUAUUACACUAUGUUGCUUUUGGCCAAAACUAUCAUUCAUACAUAGAGGCAUGUGCCUUUUAUAACUCAACAUCUUUGGAAUAUAUUAGUUUUUCAAUGUACUUUUUAUACUGAAAAAGAUCUUUAAGCCUACAUAUAUCCUACCUACCUGUAAUAACAAUCUUCAAAACUCUUAAAGAUGACAACUAAAAAUCUGUAACCUGUAAAAAACCUUGCAACAUUUCAAUCCCAUGCAGAAAGUAAUUUCCAUCUUUAAUGCUGAUAAGCAAACACAGGAAAUAAACAUCCAAAUAAAGAUACCUGAGGGACUUUUCCAUUUAGGACCUUAAAGAAUACAGUGCUUUAAAGUAAGGAGAAUUCAAAUAGUUAAAAACAAUUUUAUGACAGAAGUUGAGUACAGGAGCUCCAUUUCAGGCAAGCACCUGAAUUCCUGACAUAUCCUAGACUGAAGGUCUGACACGUCCAGUCAGGUCAGAUUUCCAAUGACAUCUCUGUAUUUCCAGCCCAAGUAUAUACUGCUAUAUCACUCUACAGUAAAGAAGGAAGAUCCUUUUCAAGGCUUCUAACAUCUGAAGUGCUUCUGAAAUAUGGAUUUGCUACUCUAGUCAGAGCACCUCAAAUGCACUUAUUCUGCAAAUUUCUUCUUAUAAACCACACCAUUAAUAGGAAACAACUUGUAAUCUACUGAACUCUCAGUAAGAGAACCAACAAUAAAAAUCAAUCAAGUGCUACUGUCUACCCAGUUUUUCUGGUUAAUUCUUGUGGUUUUGUCAUCACUGGGCUCUCUCCCCUUCCUCAGUGCCUCAGAGAACAGACACAUAGAGUGUGUGCCUACUUAGCCAUGCAAAUACAGCAAUGGCAGAGAACAUGCUUGAAAAGUGUCUGAACUAUUAUAGAGAUUCUCUUCCUUUGGGUAGUCACGGUCAUUACUUGUAACAGGAAUAUGCAAAAAACAUUAAAGUGGAUGUAUGAACUCU